UUUCUGUCAAGUUCCUCUCAUAGUCUCAUUCAUCCGUUUCUCUUCCUCUCACUUAUAAAACUUUUUUCAGAUGUGAAAGGAAACAAGGAUCUCCUAGCCUCACGAACCUGUUGAAAAUUUUCUGGAAAGGUAUCCGGACAUCCCGGAGGGAACCCGACUAGUGCCUAAGUACACCUCCGCAGAAGACAUCCUGGAGAGCCGUCUUUUCACCCCAAUUUAAUCGACGGUGGCCAGUGGAAAUCGAAGGAACCGUUCUGGGAAAUGCGGCUGAAGGAGAAUGCUUCGAUGAAUCUCCUAACUUACUAAAUCGACUCAGUUUUUACAUCAGCAAUAAG
This is a long non-coding RNA of Brassica oleracea var. oleracea, 335 nucleotides long. RefSeq lists it as uncharacterized. The transcript has 3 exons. NCBI's taxonomy places the organism in Eukaryota, Viridiplantae, Streptophyta, Magnoliopsida, Brassicales, Brassicaceae. The record is from RefSeq and is a predicted model, not a curated record.